This 234-nucleotide ribosomal RNA is filed under the name uncultured bacterium. RNAcentral describes it as "partial 16S ribosomal RNA". It matches the Rfam family "Bacterial small subunit ribosomal RNA", at positions 1267 to 1500 of the family's 1533-position model. The record is from RNAcentral.
GCAAAUCUCUUAAAGCCGUUCUCAGUUCGGAUUGUAGGCUGCAACUCGCCUACAUGAAGUCGGAAUCGCUAGUAAUCGCGGAUCAGCAUGCCGCGGUGAAUACGUUCCCGGGCCUUGUACACACCGCCCGUCACACCAUGAGAGUUUGUAACACCCAAAGCCGGUGGGGUGACCUUUUGGAGCCAGCCGUCUAAGGUGGGACAGAUGAUUGGGGUGAAGUCGUAACAAGGUACC